GACGAACGCUGGCGGCGUGCCUAAUACAUGCAAGUAGAACGCUGAAGAGAGGAGCUUACUCUUCUUGGAUGAGUUGCGAACGGGUGAGUAACGCGUAGGUAACCUGCCUUGUAGCGGGGGAUAACUAUUGGAAACGAUAGCUAAUACCGCAUAACAAUGGAUGACACAUGUCAUUUAUUUGAAAGGGGCAAUUGCUCCACUACAAGAUGGACCUGCGUUGUAUUAGCUAGUAGGUGAGGUAAUGGCUCACCUAGGCGACGAUACAUAGCCGACCUGAGAGGGUGAGCGGCCACACUGGGACUGAGACACGGCCCAGGCGCCUACGGGAGGCAGCAGUAGGGAAUCUUCGGGAAUGGGGGCAACCCUGACCGAGCAACGCCGCGUGAGUGAAGAAGGAUGUCGGAUCGUAAAGCUCUGUUGUAAGUCAAGAACGGGUGUGAGAGUGGAAAGUUCACACUGUGACGGUAGCUUACCAGAAAGGGACGGCUAACUACGUG
Molecule: ribosomal RNA, 497 nt
Filed under: uncultured bacterium
Lineage: Bacteria
Description: partial 16S ribosomal RNA
Rfam family: Bacterial small subunit ribosomal RNA
Source: RNAcentral